CAUUAUUAGUUCAACAUCUCUAUGUCCAUGACUUGUGAAACAUAGUCAUCAACUAAUACAUGUGCUAGUAUAAUAUUCAUGUGUGUCCUCACAUGAACUCCGACUAGGGACAACUUUAGAAUAACCAUACAAGUAAAGAGUUUCACAUACAAUUCACAUAAUUGCAAAUCAAUUCAAGUAGCCUUCAAUGGAUAUUCAAUGAACACAAUAUACAAAUCAUGGAUACAAAUGGAAUAUCAUCAUCUCUAUGAUUGCCUCUAGGGCAUACCUCCAACAGUCUCC
This 282-nucleotide long non-coding RNA is filed under the name Setaria viridis. RNAcentral's name for it is "long non-coding RNA (SVIR_LNC005659)". Lineage: Eukaryota; Viridiplantae; Streptophyta; Magnoliopsida; Poales; Poaceae. The record is from RNAcentral.